RNAcentral lists this long non-coding RNA (508 nucleotides) under Homo sapiens (human). RNAcentral describes it as "HSALNT0273677". Lineage: Eukaryota; Metazoa; Chordata; Mammalia; Primates; Hominidae. The record is from RNAcentral.
AGUGGUAUUUAUCUUGUGUUCACGAGUCAGUAUUUAUUGAGCCAUGGAGAAGAUUUGUCUUUUAAUCUAUAAAUCAGGCUUGUGUUUCUUACUGGCAAUACUAACUAUGAGACAUAGAAAUUAAAAAAUCAAAAUUGAACCAGUUGCUCAUUCAUGAAAUCACUCAACUGACACUUAGGAGCCAGCCAAAUGCCAGGGAACUGCCCUGCCUUCCCCACGACGGGGCUCCAGGUUGCUGAUGGAAGGUGCACCUUCUGGAGGUUUUCUUGCCCCCGGAUGUCCACUGAGAACCCCAACUGUGGCUUUGGGGGCUCCUCCUUCCUCUUACCCUCAACCUGGGACUAAACAGCCCUGAGACAAUGCAAGAGACGUGCAAAGCCCUCUGUUCUAGGCCCAAGGGCAGCAAAACAGUGAGCAUCACCGGCUCUGGACUGCCCGCUCAGAGGGAGCACUUCCCAGUCUUUGAAGGCCUCUGUGUCCAGGGGCUGCCACCUAGAACCAGGGGCCC